CUACGGGCGGCACCAGUGGGGAAUAUUGCACAAUGGAGGAAACUCUGAUGCAGCAACGCCGCGUGGAGGAUGACACUUUUCGGAGCGUAAACUCCUUUUAUAUAGGAAGAAGAUGACGGUACUAUAUGAAUAAGCGCCGGCUAACUCCGUGCCAGCAGCCGCGGUAAUACGGAGGGCGCAAGCGUUACUCGGAAUCACUGGGCGUAAAGAGCGUGUAGGCGGAUUAAAAAGUCAGAAGUGAAAUCCUAUAGCUUAACGAUAGAACUGCUUCUGAAACUCUUAAUCUAGAAUAUGGGAGAGGUAGAUGGAAUUUCUGGUGUAGGGGUAAUAUCCGUAGAGAUCAGAAGGAAUACCGAUUGCGAAGGCGAUCUACUAGAACAUUAUUGACGCUGAGACGCGAAAGCGUGGGGAGCAAACAGGAUUAGAUACCCUAGUAGUC
This 439-nucleotide ribosomal RNA is filed under the name uncultured bacterium. Its description in RNAcentral is "partial 16S ribosomal RNA". It matches the Rfam family "Bacterial small subunit ribosomal RNA", at positions 339 to 795 of the family's 1533-position model. The record is from RNAcentral.